This 72-nucleotide transfer RNA is filed under the name Camelus bactrianus (Bactrian camel). It matches the Rfam family "tRNA". From Rfam's summary of the family: Transfer RNA (tRNA) molecules are approximately 80 nucleotides in length. Their secondary structure includes four short double-helical elements and three loops (D, anti-codon, and T loops). Further hydrogen bonds mediate the characteristic L-shaped molecular structure. tRNAs have two regions of fundamental functional importance: the anti-codon, which is responsible for specific mRNA codon recognition, and the 3' end, to which the tRNAs corresponding amino acid is attached (by aminoacyl-tRNA synthetases). tRNAs cope with the degeneracy of the genetic code in two manners: having more than one tRNA (with a specific anti-codon) for a particular amino acid; and 'wobble' base-pairing, i.e. permitting non-standard base-pairing at the 3rd anti-codon position. RNAcentral also lists the same sequence under 1 other name. The record is from Rfam by way of RNAcentral. Lineage: Eukaryota; Metazoa; Chordata; Mammalia; Artiodactyla; Camelidae.
GAGGGUAUAGCUCAGUGGUAGAGUGUGUGCUUAGCAUGCACGAGGUCCUUGGUUCAAUCCCCAGUAACUCCA